Long non-coding RNA from Cavia porcellus (domestic guinea pig), 1789 nucleotides. RefSeq lists it as uncharacterized. The record is from RefSeq and is a predicted model, not a curated record. The transcript has 2 exons. Lineage: Eukaryota; Metazoa; Chordata; Mammalia; Rodentia; Caviidae.
GCUAGGCCUCUUUCCCUCCCUGGCCUCUCCCUCCAUCUAUAGAGCUGGUGACCUCCACAGGCCCUCCUACGCAAGGAUUCUCUGGCUCUCUCUGAUCUAUUUUUGCCUGACACCUCUCCCAGGGGCCUGUGGGUCUGAGCUAAUUUCCCUGGCUGGCCGAGAUCCAGGCAGCUCAGGUGGAGAGUGCUGAGCUAAUGAGGCCAAGGUCAUCGGCCAGUUAGGGUGUCUUUGAGGAACCUGGCUUUGUAGCUGGACUGCAGCUCCUCUACCAAUCGCCAGCCUCAGGCACUGGUGACCUUAUAGGGAAUAAAGACAGCAAAGCUGGCUCCUGCAAGUCAUCACUUUCUGUAGAAGCCUCUAGGGAUGUGUUGGGAGCCGUGGCACUGUCAAGUCAUCAGACGCGGUGAUUGCGAGGCCUGUGGGAAAGUACAAAAGCCUGGGCUAGAUUACCCCUCUCAUCGAGCCCGCCUGUGUGGCACCUGUUUCUUAUCACCCCACUAAGUACCCGCCUCACAGGGUAGUCUGCCUAGCUAUUAAUCCUAUAUAUAGCCAGUGCCUCCACCCCCGAGAGAGAGAGAGACUGAAGCACAAAAGGAGCCGCGGAGAGCGGACCGGUAGAGGCUUCGGGGCAGACUGAAGCACGGAAGGAGCCGCGGAGAGCGGACCGGUAGAGGCUUCAGGGCAGACUGUAUAAGGAGAGAAUAAAGAAAAGCCUGACCACCGCCAGACCUUGUCGUGUGUCUUUCCUGCCGGCCGGGAGCGGACAUCGACAUUUGGAGGCCUGCCCGGGGAUUGAUCAACCCCGAGACGCGGCGGUGGACUGCAUUCUCCUACACAGUGCUGCAGCUGCAGGACAGGAAUCGGGACGAGAACCAAUGUGGGUCCCAGAGAGGUUGACGCGACAAGUCCCUCGACUGAAGAUCAGGCCUGUUCCACCAGAGGCCAACCGCAGACCCAACAACAAGAUGAGCCCUAAAAGAACUGCAGGACAAUCCCUUUUUGGGGGCCUGGAACGGCUUGCUCCCCUAUGUGCUACCCUUGUAUACGCAUGGCUCGCUCGCAUGGCCUACGACCGCGUUUAAAAGUGACAGGCUUCCCACAUUCUCCUCCCUAGACAACAACAUGUAGCAGGGUGGGUGAGUCAAUGACGGGUAAGAGCGUGCCUCCCCAGCACGACUCAACCUAAGCCAGGCCCUACCCCGUUCCGCUCGAAAGCCGCUGGAUUGUUAGAUAAAUUUCUCUCCGAGGGGAUUCGUGGAGAGAAAUGAGUGCAUGCCUAUGUGCAACCAGGUUCCGUCCGGUUCAUUCCUGGCCCUAGAAAAAAGGACGAGGGCCUCAGGGCCUUGGUGGACCCUGGGACGGCCGACCAGGGUCUACGCUAAGGGCCUACGGUGGGCCUCAGUUCGGGGCAUAGGCCUCUGCACUCUAUCCAGGACGGGCUGCGAUGCGCGUAGCCAUCAUUUAAAAUAAAAUAGGGGGAGAUGUUGGGAGCCGUGGCACUGUCAAGUCAUCAGACGCGGUGAUUGCGAGGCCUGUGGGAAAGUACAAAAGCCUGGGCUAGAUUACCCCUCUCAUCGAGCCCGCCUGUGUGGCACCUGUUUCUUAUCACCCCACUAAGUACCCGCCUCACAGGGUAGUCUGCCUAGCUAUUAAUCCUAUAUAUAGCCAGUGCCUCCACCCCCGAGAGAGAGAGAGACUGAAGCACAAAAGGAGCCGCGGGGAGCGGACCGGUAGAGGCUUCGGGGCAGACUGUAUAAGGAGAGAAUAAAGAAAAGCCUGACCACCGCCA